RNAcentral lists this ribosomal RNA (389 nucleotides) under uncultured Funneliformis. Its description in RNAcentral is "partial 28S ribosomal RNA". Lineage: Eukaryota; Fungi; Glomeromycota; Glomeromycetes; Glomerales; Glomeraceae. The record is from RNAcentral.
GAGAGUUAAACAGUACGUGAAAUUGUUGAAAGGGAAACGAUUGAAGUCAGUCAUACCAACGGGAAAUCAACCUUUUGAGUUUGGUCUAUUGGGUUUUGAAGAGUUUUAAAAGCCUGGUGUACUUUCUCGUACGGUUAGUCAACAUCGGUUUUGAAUGUCAUAAAAUGACUGGAGGAAUGUGGCUUCGAUCUAGUAUUGAAGUGUUAUAACCUUUGGUAGAUGUGAUGUUUGAGACCGAGGAUUGCAACGGAUACCCUUCUGGGCUAUUCGUCUGAUCUCUGAAACGUUGCCUUGAUGUCGAAAGCUUGCUUAUGAUGUUAGGGUAUUACGGUCAAAAGGUUAGAACGGAUUAAAUUCGUUAAGGAUGUUGACGUAAUGACUUUAAACGA